Molecule: ribosomal RNA, 1292 nt
Filed under: uncultured earthworm intestine bacterium
Lineage: Bacteria
Description: partial 16S ribosomal RNA
Rfam family: Bacterial small subunit ribosomal RNA
Source: RNAcentral
UGCAAGUCGAGCGAAGGGAGUAAUCCCUUAGCGGCGAACGGGUGAGUAAGACAUGUCCAACUUUCCUUUAAAACAGGGAUAGCCAUUAGAGAUAGUGGGUAAUACCCGAUAGGUGGUGUGUUCGCAUGAACACAACAUUAAAGAAGCGAUUCGCUUCAUUUAAAGAUAGGGGCAUGGUACAUUAGCUUGUUGGUGAGAUAACAGCCCACCAAGGCGACGAUGUAUAGCCGGUCUGAGAGGACGCACGGCCACACUGGGACUGAGACACGGCCCAGACUCCUACGGGAGGCAGCAGUAGGGAAUUUUUCACAAUGGACGAAAGUCUGAUGAAGCAAUACCGCGUGUUUGAUGAAGGCCUUCGGGUCGUAAAAAACUGUGAUAGAAUCCAAAAACCUAGCAGAGGAAAUGCUGCUAGCUUGAUUAUUCUAUUAGAAAGCCACGGCAAACUACGUGCCAGCAGCCGCGGUAAGACGUAGGUGGCAAGCGUUAUCCGGAUUUAUUGGGCGUAAAGGGUGCUCAGACGGAAAGAUAAGUCUAAAAUUAAAUGCUAAAGCUCAACUUUAGUUUGUUUUGGAAACUAUUUUUCUAGAAUACAAAAGAGGAUGACGGAACUCGAUGUGUAGCGGUGAAAUGCGUAGAUAUAUCGAAGAACACCAAUGAUAGCGUAGGCAGUCAUCUAGUUUGAUAUUGACGUUAAAGCACGAAAGCGUGGGGAGCAAAUAGGAUUAGAUACCCUAGUAGUCCACGCCGUAAACGAUGAGUACUAGAAAUUGGAAAGAAUUCAGUUUUACAGCUUAACGCAUUAAGUACUCCGCCUGGGUAGUACGCUCGCAAGAGUGAAACUCAAAGGAAUUGACGGGGACCCGCACAAGCGGUGGAGCAUGUGGUUUAAUUCGACGCAACGCGAAGAACCUUACCAGGAUUUGACAUCCUUUGCAAAGUUAUAGAAAUAUAAUGGAGGUUAUCAAAGUGACAGGCGGUGCAUGGUCGUCGUCAGCUCGUGUCGUGAGAUGUUGGGUUAAGUCCUAUAACGAGCGCAACCCUCUUUUUUAGUUAUCGCAAGAUCUAAAAAGACUGCUCGUGUUUUAAAUGAGAGGAAGGUGAGGAUGACGUCAGAUCAUUAUGCCCCUUAUAUCCUGGGCCACACACGUGCUACAAUGGCCAAUACAGAGGGUCGCAAUACUGUAAAGUAGAGCUUAAUCCCUAAAAUUGGUCUCAAUUCGGAUUGAGGUCUGCAAUUCGACCUCAUGAAGCUGGAAUCGCUAGUAAUCGCAAGUUAGCCAUAUUGCGGU